RNAcentral lists this transfer RNA (75 nucleotides) under Sediminicoccus rosea. RNAcentral's name for it is "tRNA-Val". It matches the Rfam family "tRNA". From Rfam's summary of the family: Transfer RNA (tRNA) molecules are approximately 80 nucleotides in length. Their secondary structure includes four short double-helical elements and three loops (D, anti-codon, and T loops). RNAcentral also lists the same sequence under 3 other names. The record is from RNAcentral. Lineage: Bacteria; Pseudomonadati; Pseudomonadota; Alphaproteobacteria; Acetobacterales; Roseomonadaceae.
GGGCGCUUAGCUCAGCGGUAGAGCACUACCUUGACACGGUAGGGGUCACAGGUUCAAUCCCUGUAGCGCCCACCA